This is a long non-coding RNA of Aegilops tauschii subsp. strangulata, 3287 nucleotides long. RefSeq lists it as uncharacterized. Lineage: Eukaryota; Viridiplantae; Streptophyta; Magnoliopsida; Poales; Poaceae. The record is from RefSeq and is a predicted model, not a curated record.
CUCCUGCCCACCCGGUUCGGAUCUAGCCCGAACCCACCAGCAGCAGCCCCACUUCCCUCUGCUUCCCGCCGCCCGCCGAAGCCGGCUCCGGCAAGCACCUUCCCCGGCGACACCGCCCCUUCCCGGCGGCCAGCCCACGGCCAGGCGCGCCCUUUCCUCCCUCCCCGCGCUCUGGCCGUGGCCGGCCCGCUCCUCCUCUCUUCCUACGGGGCCCCGGGGUCCUGCCUCCCCGCUCGUCCUCGAUUUGGGUUCGCUCGUCCUCGACUCGCCGUCCGUUCAGGUUUGGAACCGCGCCUGAUUUGGUUCUUGCUCCUGCUUGGUUCGUCGGCUCACAAGUCGCGCCUGCUUUGAUUUUUCCCGUCCCCGCCGUCGCCCGUUUGGGGUCGCGUCCGGUUCGAUUUUGCUCGUCCUCGCCGUCGCCGUCCGUGUGGAGUCGCGCCCGAUUCGAUUUCGCUCGUCCUCGCCGUCGUCCGUCUACUUUAGAGUCGCGUCUGAUUCGAUCUUGCGCGUCCUCGCCCUUGUCCCGAUGCGGUCGCGUGUUCUUGGUCCGUCUCGCCUCGUCGGGGCCGGGGUCUCCAUCUCGUUUGCAAACUACCAAUUCUGCCUGCGCGCGCUUCUGCUAUCCGAACGUAGCAGUCCUGGAUUUCGUGUUCGCGUCGGUUGCAGGAACGAACGGGUCUGGUUUCGAAAUUGGAUUACGGCCGGAGAUGGGGAGCAAUGUUACUUGUUACUUUAUCGUGCUAUAGUUCAGAUCGGUUCCUCUCUUCUGUCACCUGCGUUGCUCUUGCUCUCUUGUUAUACUCUGUCAAUUCUUGGCCCUCUGUCAAUUCUUGAGUUCCAGGGUCUGUUAAUUCUUGACUUUUUGUUGUACCGGUUAGGCGUGUGUGCUCUUAUCCUAGAUGCAGAGACGGGGUGAUUCCUUACGCUUGUUCUGAUGGUGUAUAAUGCUUAUGUUCUUUCCAAUUUGUUUCUUUUUACCAUGCUUUGCUUGUGUGUUCCUGCUGCUUGACUAAUUGAACACCUGAUGCUGCUACUGUGGGACAAUGUUCCUUUUUUUCUUCCUGAUGUUGCUAUUUCCAUUGAUGAGCUCCUGCUAGUUAGUUCCCCUUAGAGUACAUUCUAGAUUGCAUAGCAUAACUACAGAAUUUUGUCAUUGCACACCUGCGCAUAUAUUUCUGUUGUGAGCAUAACUCCAGAAUUUAUUUAUCUGUGAAAGCACGUUCACACAUGUUUUUUUAUCAAUGCUGCUAACUUCUGUCGCGUCCCCAGUUAGUGUGCUGCUUGUUUUCUUGUGAUGAUGGUGAUCCAGUUGACUAGCCCAACUCUUAUGCUGUGACAUUUGUUAAUCCCCAGUUAGUGUGCCUGAAAAAUUACUGUUUGUCCUGUUAAAUUUUAUGGCAUCAACUCGGUAUUGUGAUUAAUGACCUAGUAUUUGUUUAGUGUAGACAGCUAACUUCUUUUUUUCUUAAAUUUUUAGUGAUAUGCGUGUUUUGGUAUAUUCUUUUUUUUUUGUAUUACUUAUGUCCAGUCACUGGAAUAGUGCUUUUCUUGAUUUGCCUAGACUUUGUGACAAUUAAUUUAUAGUGCGUUCAUUGAUCAUUGAGCUUUUGACACCCUAUUGCGUAAAAUUCUGUUGUAAUGUUUGUUUGAUCAUUGAGUAGUUAAUAUUGAUUCUGCGUGCGCUUCUGUUAUCUGAGAGACACUCACGAUCCUGCGUUUCGUGUUUGCGGCGGAGCGAUGAACGGUUACAUUUCGUGUUCCUGCAUUUUGUGUUCGCCGUCUGGUUUGAUUACGGACACAGGGAGAUGCCAGCAAGGUCAGUUUCAGAUCGGUUCCGUCGCUGCGUUGUUCGUCGGCGAUCUCCAGACCUCAAACGCAUGCGCCCUUGUGAUACUUUAGUUUGGCUCGCCGGUCGUUACGGUUGUUCUUGUGUUCUUGAAGAACCCCAUCUUAUACGCAGAGAUGAGGUGAUUCGUUAUGGUUCUUUUGAUGGUUUCUUAUGUUCUUUCGAAUUGGGUUCUUGUAACACUUUGCUUAUGUUCCCAAUGUCUGUCUUUCCAUAUAUGGGGAUGCGUUCAGAGGUGCAAACUGUGUAGGCCGUGGUGUGUUUUAUACUAUCUAUGGUGUGUUUUAUACUAUCUGAUGUGGAACGUAGAAAUAUUGAUAUCACUUCUGUGCUAGUAUACUAGAUAUGGUGUGUUUUAUCCAAGUUAUUAACCACAUCUCUUACAAAUUUUCCUUGAGAUGGUACAUGUUUAUAUGACAGGAGUGUUUGAUGUCUUGACGAAUAUUGGUAGUUCCUGAUCAUAGGUAACAGACCAGUACUUGUUUAGUGCAGACAAUUUACUAUUCUUUUUUCUGAACUUUUUUGUGUUAUGUGUGUUAUGUGGAUAUCAUAUUUUAAUGCUCUUCUAAGUAUUGAAGGUACAGACUUGUGGAUCUGGACAUGUCACAGUUGCCCUUUAUUGUGUUGCUAAGGACACUGAACGGUUUGGCUGGGCCACUGCACGGCCUGGCUAGUCAGGAAGUGUUGCUAUGGAUCAAUUCUGUAAUGGAAGACACUGAAGAGUGGAAAGUUGUAGUGAUUAGGGAGAAGCUUGCAGAACUGUAUGAAUUUGAACAACAAUGGUCGAGAGCAGCACAAAUGCUUAAUCGCAUUGACUUGGACUCAGGAAUUGAGUAGAAGCAAAGCUUUUGUCUCUCUUUACAUGUCAUUGGAUACUCUGGAAAUCUGACCACCAUCUUAAAAACCAGGAUGCUUGAUGACACAAACAAAAUAUCCAAGAUGAUGGUGCAGUGAAUGCUGAAGCUUUUAUCAACAAAGCCUCGUUUUUGGUCACAAACAGCAACCAGGAAGUUCUGAACUUACAAUUCAAGGUCUAUUAUGCGAGAAUUUUAGAUCUAAGGCGUAAAUUCUUGGAAGCUGCACUUCGAUACUAUGGUAUCUCUCAAAUUGAGCAACGCCAAAUUGGGGAUGAGUAAGGCUUACUCCAUGCAGUCGUAGAUUUGUUUCUCUCUUGUGCAAUUUACUCCUUUUUAAUGUUCUGUCAUUUAUGGUUCUUUGUUGCCUUGCUGGUCUAGUGGUGCCUAAUUUCUGUUUUACACCCUUCAAAUAUUUCAAUGUUUUGCUUACUGUAUGUAAUAAAUUACCCUACUUGAUAUUCAUGUUUAAGUACUGUAGUGGUUAUUAGCAAGUCAUGUUUGGAACUGAUAUGGCCUCCAUAUUUUAUUUUUAAAGAUCUUGAUGAAACAUUGUUUAUGUAUUUUCUCAGAUAGAUUGAUGAAAA